This 104-nucleotide ribosomal RNA is filed under the name Platystele edmundoi. RNAcentral describes it as "partial 18S small subunit ribosomal RNA". It matches the Rfam family "Eukaryotic small subunit ribosomal RNA", at positions 1728 to 1831 of the family's 1831-position model. Lineage: Eukaryota; Viridiplantae; Streptophyta; Magnoliopsida; Asparagales; Orchidaceae. The record is from RNAcentral.
GGUUUGCCCCCGUGACUCUGCGAGAAGUCCAUUGAACCUUAUCAUUUAGAGGAAGGAGAAGUCGUAACAAGGUUUCCGUAGGUGAACCUGCGGAAGGAUCAUUG